GUGAACUACUUUGAAGAUAUUUUUGGUGAACCUCUGGACUUUGAGUUGGGUAGCCUACCUUGCUGUCUCAGGGAAUUGGAACGACACGAGGAUACUCCUUGGCAGCCAGUCUUUGUAUGGAGUCCACCGUGAUCUACUGUAUAGAGGGUCCAGUGACUACUAGGGGGUCUCUGCAAACUUUCAAUGAGGACCAUUAGACUUCUUGAGAAGGAUUGGCUCAGGGAAGGAUUGACUGCAACCAUCUCACCCCAACCCCUGGGUGCAUCAGCAUUGGAUAUUAUGGGUUAAACCUCCUGUCUAUUGUUUAGGGUCACUAAUGGUUAAAGAAGUGGACU
Molecule: long non-coding RNA, 335 nt
Organism: Danio aesculapii
Lineage: Eukaryota; Metazoa; Chordata; Actinopteri; Cypriniformes; Danionidae
Exons: 3
Source: RefSeq, a predicted model, not a curated record